CAGGUCUUGACAUCCUCUGACCAUCCUAGAGAUAGGACCUUCCCCUUCGGGGGACAGAGUGACAGGUGGUGCAUGGUUGUCGUCAGCUCGUGUCGUGAGAUGUUGGGUUAAGUCCCGCAACGAGCGCAACCCUUGUCCUUAGUUGCCAGCAUUUAGUUGGGCACUCUAAGGAGACUGCCGGUGACAAACCGGAGGAAGGUGGGGAUGACGUCAAAUCAUCAUGCCCCUUAUGACCUGGGCUACACACGUGCUACAAUGGAUGGUACAAAGGGUUGCGAAGCCGCGAGGUGAAGCCAAUCCCAUAAAACCAUUCUCAGUUCGGAUUGCAGGCUGCAACUCGCCUGCAUGAAGCCGGAAUCGCUAGUAAUCGUGGAUCAGCAUGCCACGGUGAAUACGUUCCC
RNAcentral lists this ribosomal RNA (401 nucleotides) under uncultured soil bacterium. RNAcentral describes it as "bacterial SSU rRNA". It matches the Rfam family "Bacterial small subunit ribosomal RNA", at positions 975 to 1375 of the family's 1533-position model. The record is from RNAcentral.